AUACGGAGGGUGCAAGCGUUAUUCGGAAUCACUGGGCGUAAAGGGUGCGUAGGCGGUUUGAUAGGUCUGAUGUGAAAUCCUAUGGCUCAACCAUAGAACUGCAUUGGAAACUGUCAGACUAGAAUACUGAAGGGGCAGAUGGAAUUAGUGGUGUAGGGGUAAAAUCCGUAGAUAUCACUAGGAAUACCGAAAGCGAAAGCGAUCUGCUGGGAAGUUAUUGACGCUGAGGCACGAAAGCGUGGGGAGCAAACGGGAUUAGAAACCCAGUAGUCC
This 273-nucleotide ribosomal RNA is filed under the name uncultured bacterium. Its description in RNAcentral is "partial 16S ribosomal RNA". It matches the Rfam family "Bacterial small subunit ribosomal RNA", at positions 523 to 796 of the family's 1533-position model. The record is from RNAcentral.